This 85-nucleotide transfer RNA is filed under the name Felis catus (domestic cat). It matches the Rfam family "tRNA". Rfam says of the family: Transfer RNA (tRNA) molecules are approximately 80 nucleotides in length. Their secondary structure includes four short double-helical elements and three loops (D, anti-codon, and T loops). The record is from Rfam by way of RNAcentral. Lineage: Eukaryota; Metazoa; Chordata; Mammalia; Carnivora; Felidae.
GCCUGGGUGGCUCAGUCGGUUGAGCAUCUGACUUCAGCUCAGGUCAUGACCUCACAGUUCAUAGGUUUGAGCCCCACAUCAGGCU